Molecule: long non-coding RNA, 653 nt
Organism: Dermacentor andersoni
Lineage: Eukaryota; Metazoa; Arthropoda; Arachnida; Ixodida; Ixodidae
Source: RefSeq, a predicted model, not a curated record
AGCCACAUGCGGCCAUUGCGGGCUCACGCAGGUUCGUUCGCGUGGUCUUGUUACGCCUCGCUGGAUCGUGUUCAGUCAUGCCGUCCUUGCGCGGCGUGAUUGUCGGUGAGUCAGGUUAAAUUCUUAAAUAGGUCGCGCCUACGCCUAAUUGAGUCUAUAAAAGCCUGCACAUUCAGUUUUGCUAGCUACAAUGCAGUGCGGCUGGCGUGAGCUGUCUCCACGAUGCGCUUCGAUCGUGUCGAUUUCGCCGUUCUGUAUGUUGGCGUUAACGACCUUGAAUGCAACAUGGAUCCACAAGAAAUGUGCGACAACAUCAAGGCCUUGAUUGUUCAACGAGACGGCCCCCGUCGUGCUGGUUUUCAAGGUGCUCCCUCGCUGCCUAGAAGAUGCUGAUGCGGAAUAGAAAAUGCAAAAACGUCGCUUGCUCAACCGCAAAUUGACGGCUACGCUGAAGCGCAUGCCGUGUCUGCGGAAUUUGAACCCCGAGCUUUCCAGAGUUCCUUGGAAAAUCCUCCCAUGCACCUGCCAUGUACAUUGCCCUCCUCCUCGAUGUGGCGUGCAAGAUGGCAGCAGCAGCUGUGGGAACAGUUGAAGAGGCGAAGAAAGGUCCACUUUAUAAUAGGUUGUAUGUAAAUAAAACUGAUCGACCUCAA